UGGGGAAUAUUGCACAAUGGGCGCAAGCCUGAUGCAGCCAUGCCGCGUGUGUGAAGAAGGCCUUCGGGUUGUAAAGCACUUUCAGUCAGGAGGAAAGGUUAGUAGUUAAUACCUGCUAGCUGUGACGUUACUGACAGAAGAAGCACCGGCUAACUCCGUGCCAGCAGCCGCGGUAAUACGGAGGGUGCGAGCGUUAAUCGGAAUUACUGGGCGUAAAGCGUACGCAGGCGGUUUGUUAAGCGAGAUGUGAAAGCCCCGGGCUUAACCUGGGAACUGCAUUUCGAACUGGCAAACUAGAGUGUGAUAGAGGGUGGUAGAAUUUCAGGUGUAGCGGUGAAAUGCGUAGAGAUCUGAAGGAAUACCGAUGGCGAAGGCAGCCACCUGGGUCAACACUGACGCUCAUGUACGAAAGCGUGGGGAGCAAACAGGAUUAGAUACCCCCGUAGUCC
RNAcentral lists this ribosomal RNA (449 nucleotides) under uncultured prokaryote. RNAcentral's name for it is "bacterial SSU rRNA". It matches the Rfam family "Bacterial small subunit ribosomal RNA", at positions 355 to 796 of the family's 1533-position model. The record is from RNAcentral.